CNACCCAGGGGUAUCUAAUNNUGNNNUNAUCNNGGUUCUAAAGCAAGAACGGNGGCCGGCGUUCAUACCAUCCAGCUNNNAGAACGUGUCCUNGNUGAUGCCNNCCGCNCGCGCGGUUNUCCAACAUANAACGAGUGGCGCACGGGAGAGUAACACGUGGGUAACCUGCCNUUAAGUGGGGGGAUAACAUUUGUAAACAGAUGUUAAUACCGCAUAGAUCCAAGAACCGCAUGGUUCUUGGNUAAAAGAUGGCGUAAGCUAUCGCUUUUGGAUGGACCCGCGGCGUAUUAGCUAGUUGGUGAGGUAAUGGCUCACCAAGGCGAUGAUACGUAGCCGAACUGAGAGGUUGAUCGGCCACAUUGGGACUGAGACACGGCCCAAACUCCUACGGGAGGCAGCAGUAGGGAAUCUUCCACAAUGGACGCAAGUCUGAUGGAGCAACGCCGCGUGAGUGAAGAAGGCUUUCGGGUCGUAAAACUCUGUUGUUGGAGAAGAAUGGUCGGCAGAGUAACUGUUGUCGGCGUGACGGUAUCCAACCAGAAAGCCACGGCUAACUACGUGCCAGCAGCCGCGGUAAUACGUAGGUGGCAAGCGUUAUCCGGAUUUAUUGGGCGUAAAGCGAGCGCAGGCGGUUUUUUAAGUCUGAUGUGAAAGCCCUCGGCUUAACCGAGGAAGCGCAUCGGAAACUGGGAAACUUGAGUGCAGAAGAGGACAGUGGAACUCCAUGUGUAGCGGUGAAAUGCGUAGAUAUAUGGAAGAACACCAGUGGCGAAGGCGGCUGUCUGGUCUGUAACUGACGNGAG
Molecule: ribosomal RNA, 803 nt
Filed under: Lacticaseibacillus paracasei
Lineage: Bacteria; Bacillati; Bacillota; Bacilli; Lactobacillales; Lactobacillaceae
Description: Lactobacillus paracasei partial 16S ribosomal RNA
Rfam family: Bacterial small subunit ribosomal RNA
Source: RNAcentral